GGGCCUGUAGCUCAAUGGUAGAGCCGCGGACUUUUAAUCCGUUUGUUGUGGGUUCGAGUCCCACCGGGCCUA
This 72-nucleotide transfer RNA is filed under the name Actinomyces sp. RNAcentral describes it as "tRNA-Lys(ttt)". It matches the Rfam family "tRNA". Rfam says of the family: Transfer RNA (tRNA) molecules are approximately 80 nucleotides in length. Their secondary structure includes four short double-helical elements and three loops (D, anti-codon, and T loops). Further hydrogen bonds mediate the characteristic L-shaped molecular structure. tRNAs have two regions of fundamental functional importance: the anti-codon, which is responsible for specific mRNA codon recognition, and the 3' end, to which the tRNAs corresponding amino acid is attached (by aminoacyl-tRNA synthetases). tRNAs cope with the degeneracy of the genetic code in two manners: having more than one tRNA (with a specific anti-codon) for a particular amino acid; and 'wobble' base-pairing, i.e. permitting non-standard base-pairing at the 3rd anti-codon position. RNAcentral also lists the same sequence under 4 other names. The record is from RNAcentral. Lineage: Bacteria; Bacillati; Actinomycetota; Actinomycetes; Actinomycetales; Actinomycetaceae.